This is a long non-coding RNA of Mugil cephalus (flathead mullet), 376 nucleotides long. RefSeq lists it as uncharacterized. The transcript has 3 exons. The record is from RefSeq and is a predicted model, not a curated record. NCBI's taxonomy places the organism in Eukaryota, Metazoa, Chordata, Actinopteri, Mugiliformes, Mugilidae.
CUGAGAGGAAAAAGAGAGCACAACUGUAAACCGUGUUCAGAUGGACACAAAGUGGAAGCGGAGACACUUAAGCGCACUUUGAGCAGAGGCCCUGCCAAGCAGUGUUGCCAUAAAAACCACAUCCUUUCUUGCAAAGCAGCUCUGACUGGUCCAGGUGGAUCCCACGCCGCUGGCUCAUCAUCCUUCAAAAAAGUUGAGGUGUACUGAGGUGGAAUCAGAAGACAGGAAACUCGUGCUAAUGAGCUUUUCAAGGUGAGGGGGAGGUUUGUGGAAAAGGUGUCCAGCGCACUUAUCAGCCAGCUCCUGGAUGACGUUUUAGAAGACGGCAUCUUGAAUGAUGGGGAGAGAGAGUCGAUAAUCGAGGAGAACCGGUCCC